AGUCGAACGGAAAGGCCCAGCUUGCUGGGUGCUCGAGUGGCGAACGGGUGAGUAACACGUGGGUGAUCUGCCUCUAACUUCGGGAUAAGCUUGGGAAACUGGGUCUAAUACCGGAUAGGACAAUCGUUUAGUGUCGGUUGUGGAAAGUUUUUUCGGUUAGGGAUGAGCCCGCGGCCUAUCAGCUUGUUGGUGGGGUAAUGGCCUACCAAGGCGUCGACGGGUAGCCGGCCUGAGAGGGUGGACGGCCACAUUGGGACUGAGAUACGGCCCAGACUCCUACGGGAGGCAGCAGUGGGGAAUAUUGCACAAUGGGCGCAAGCCUGAUGCAGCGACGCCGCGUGGGGGAUGACGGCCUUCGGGUUGUAAACCUCUUUCGACAGGGACGAAGCUUUGGUGACGGUACCUGUAUAAGAAGCACCGGCUAACUACGUGCCAGCAGCCGCGGUAAUACGUAGGGUGCGAGCGUUGUCCGGAAUUACUGGGCGUAAAGAGCUCGUAGGUGGUUUGUCGCGUCGUCUGUGAAAUUCCGGGGCUUAACUUCGGGCGUGCAGGCGAUACGGGCAUAACUUGAGUGCUGUAGGGGAGACUGGAAUUCCUGGUGUAGCGGUGGAAUGCGCAGAUAUCAGGAGGAACACCGAUGGCGAAGGCAGGUCUCUGGGCAGUAACUGACGCUGAGGAGCGAAAGCAUGGGGAGCGAAUAGGAUUAGAUACCCUGGUAGUCCAUGCCGUAAACGGUGGGCGCUAGGUGUAGGGGUCUUCCACGACUUCUGUGCCGUAGCUAACGCAUUAAGCGCCCCGCCUGGGGAGUACGGCCGCAAGGCUAAAACUCAAAGGAAUUGACGGGGGCCCGCACAAGCGGCGGAGCAUGUGGAUUAAUUCGAUGCAACGCGAAGAACCUUACCUGGGCUUGACAUAUACAGGACUGGGGCCA
Molecule: ribosomal RNA, 931 nt
Filed under: uncultured bacterium
Lineage: Bacteria
Description: bacterial SSU rRNA
Rfam family: Bacterial small subunit ribosomal RNA
Source: RNAcentral